Molecule: non-coding RNA, 124 nt
Organism: Cephalotus follicularis
Lineage: Eukaryota; Viridiplantae; Streptophyta; Magnoliopsida; Oxalidales; Cephalotaceae
Source: Rfam
GGGUGCGAUCAUACCAGCACUUAUGCGUCGGAUUCCAUUCGAACUCUGCAGUUAAGCUUGCUUCGACAAUGUGUAGUAGUUUUAUGCAUACCAGAUUUGUGAGUAAAGUUUUGAUAUGUAUCUA